Molecule: long non-coding RNA, 22305 nt
Filed under: Triticum aestivum (bread wheat)
Lineage: Eukaryota; Viridiplantae; Streptophyta; Magnoliopsida; Poales; Poaceae
Description: long non-coding RNA (TAES_LNC003203)
Source: RNAcentral
AUAAAUCUCUGGGCCAGAAGUUCAUAGAAAUAAUAAAUUCUUUAAUGGCACGAACACACUUCACAUAAACUUCACAACAGAGGGAGUAUUAACUGAUCGAAGCACUGUAAUAGGAGAACUACAUAUCAAGUUGUCAUCUAAGAAUCCACCAUACUUGGCUCAUGAAGGCUUAACAGGAUUAGGCCCAAUUAGAGGAGAAUGUCAAGAGGCCUGAAUACAUAAUGAGUCAGCUUUCUCUUUUUUCUUCUCCUUUCUCAGUAGCUCGGUGAAGCAACAUAUUGGUUUUGCUCCAGCCAACUGGCCUUCACUUGUACUUGUAAAACCUACCUAUCUCUUCUUCCUAUGAUUUACUUCCUUUCUAUUUGUUUCUUCAUCCAUGGAUUUAACAUCCACUCAUACGGAUUUAAUACACCCCUCCCUCAUACCCUUCCUGUCUAAUUUUUAUUGCGGAAAGAUGCUCAAUUGGAUAUUCUCUCAACAUCAAAAGCGACAUUGCAUUUUAUUUGUCAAAGCACCCAUAGCAGAAAAGAUACCAUACUGUUUGUAACCUGCAACAUAUACAUAGAAGAUAAUUGAAUGAGCAAUUUCACAUGAGUGGAGACUACAAACAAAAUAUUCAGAAACUACCCAUUAGUAUUUUACAACUAUAACAUAAGGAAAAUAAACAAUCAGAUUCUACGUGCUCAAAUAUUAGAUCACUAAAGAAUCUUGAUAGAAUUGAACAACCUUUCAUCCAGGAUCUUAAAAUACGACCAGUAUCUAGAGAUAAUCUCUACAGGUAGAGAUUACUAUUAUUCAGUUUAGUAAUUUGAAGAGAAAUGCCUUAACUCCAUCUACCUAUGUAGAGCAGGUGAACCUGAUCAAUCUACAGUUUCGGUGAUGAGUUUGUGAAGAAGGUUAGCAUCUGAUUGAUGCGGCAUCCCUCCCUGGGUAAUGGUGAUUGCUUUACCUUCUGAACCUCCACAAUUUUGAUUUCAGCGUCUUUGAGAUGAGAACCAACUCUUCUCAGCAUGUUGGAGGAGUUUCUAGAGUGACGCUUCUACUGGUACAUUAAUAAAACAAUACCAUGGUUCAAUGGUAAUUCAGAUAAGGCAAACGGUUUGAGAGAGAAACAAAGCAUUUAAACAGAUUUAUUCAAGUGGCUGUUGUAUGAUGAUUCAUUCCAUUUACCUCUUAACAAUGAUAAGAAUGAGCUACAACUAUAAUUACUUCAAUGGAGCUGAAUUAAUUAGCUAAUGAAUUGGCAUGCAUAUAAAACAGAAUGGAACCCACCAUAUCAAUUUUAUGUGCAUCAACAUUUACUCGUUAAAAAACAAAGAACAAUUUAUGCACAUCCACAUAUGGUCGGUAAAAAAAUAGAGGAUGGAAAUUGCUCCUCUACUAUCUGUAUGCAUCCACAUACACCCAUUCGGAAGAAAGAGAAUGCUAAUUACUCCUCUAACGUCUAUAGAACUUGAGAAACAAGAGCCAAAACUUUUAUCCAGUGGAGCCUAAGCCUAACUCUUGAUAUGUAUAGAAGCAAUUGCAUUGAACAAAACACAUAAACAAAAUGACCAAAAUAAAAGCAAAUGUAAACUUAUUUGUACUCCAGGACUGACAUAUGUUUUUUUCACAACACCACAACAUACUAAUAUGCAAGAACACUGGAUGCAAAAAGACAUCUCAUACCUAGAUUUUCACGAGAUGUCUUUUCCAUGCUGGCCACAAAUUGUUCACCUAGACACUUGACUAACAAUGUUAGAUCCCAGUUCUCCAAUUUCCUUACCCAUUUGCUUGGUGCACAAAUGCCCCAGCAAAAACAUUUUCAUACACAUUCAGUGUGGAUCAGUACACCGUUCGAAGAAAAUCAAUGAGAACAGAGGAAGUGGCAACCUGCAAACUGAAGAGGACCAUGUCGUUUAGGGAGGGGCAAGGAGGCAGGCAUCGUUGAGCCUGACGCACAUCAGAGCUGACAUUUUUGUCCUCCAUUUUGCUGCUCCGGGAGAAGACUAUGCUAAUAUAAUUGAAUCUCAAAAGUGAACAAAUUAUAGCAUACUGAAAAAAUCAUCAAAAGUGACCAAACUCGAGCAUAUGCACUUUAACACAUUAGCCAAGCAACUAAAAACAGAAAUUCUUGAGAAUUGCCAUGGAGUCUUAAACAAACAUGAUCUCUGAAAAUAAUACACUGGAAUAAAUUAACCAUUCUAACAAUGUCCAUGGACCUGCAGGCACAAGCAAAUCGAAAGAAAGCUGAGGAGCACGGAAGGGAGAGUGAGCAGGAGGAGAGGCAAAGCAAGGGAAUGGAAGAAAAGCUCAUAGGGAAGGUGCAGACAGAAGGGAAGAGGGAGUUCGACGGCAUUGCUACUCCUUAAUGGUGCGCCUCCUCCACGACGGUGCAACCAGGGCCCUUGCUCGACGACGCGGGACCGGCCAGUAGGUCGUCCUGGCGGCUUGUUGAUGGCGUGCUCGAUGCGGGCUUCCUGCCCGAAGGCUCAUCGACGGGCGUCCCAUGGCUCGCGGUGGCGGCGGCCCCUGGCCUCUUGUGCAGCACCCCGGCUGCGGUAUGGCACCACGAACAAUAGCUUCCUCCCGGCAGCAUGGUCGUAGGACAGAGAGGAGGGAGGCAGAAUGGCGGCGGCUGCUAACGAGGAUGGAGGAGGAGGGAGGACUACGUGCUGUGGGGCUUGGUGAGGCUAGGGUUUGUCCCGUGGGGGCUGGGGGCCUGGGGACUUCCACAACGUGAGAGGAGACGCGGUCGGGUCAUGCGGAGAUUGGGCAGCAAAUCCCCUCGCACAUGGGCGUGACUGACGCAACCAAUGAACACGCGAGACGAGCCCACUCGUCAUUGGACAUAAAAAUGACCCCGAGGUGAAAAAAAAUUUAACCGAGGGCAAAGAUCCAAUGGUGCAGCUGAGCUAAAUGCCAGAUUGAAUGGCCAGGAAGGAGCCAAUCCGAGGGAGCUUCGUGGAGGGAGGUCGGCUAGCAUCCUUAUAUGUUUAAAUACCAGAAGAUGGGCCCUGAAGGUGGGCUGGGCUGAGCACAACCCAGCAGGUGGCCCCCCUCUGGUAGUUAUUCACUUCUAGGGAAAAGCCUAUACACAGAAUUUUAGCAGCAGCGCGGCUCAAAAAGGAGCGCUGCUGCUAAUUAGUAGUAGCGUGUGUGCUGGAAACUCGCUGCUAAUAAAUUUUUAGCAGUAGCGCGCUCUGCGUAAACCGCGCUGCUACAAAUAUCCACCGGUGGUGUUCACUAAGCUCCAUUUAGCAGUAGCGUCGUGGCCUGAACCGCGCUACUUCUACGGAUGUAGUAGUAGCGCGCUUUUACUGGGAUCGCUGCUGCUACAUUUCAAAUUGCCAAAAAAUUUGUCACUGUUAGCAGUAGCGUCGUUGCCCAAAGCGCGCUGCUGCUUAUUAUUUAGCAGCAGCGCGUUUCUCCUCCCGCGCUACUGCUAACCCGCACCAACCCACCACCUUUCCCCACCCAUGCCUCCCCUCCCCCUCAUCUCUUCCCUUCCCCUACCUCCCCCACAUGCUCCCACUCUCAUUCUUCUUCUUCCUCAAUACUUCUCCCCCAUUACUCUUUCUCUUCUAUCCACCUUUCUCUCUCUUCAUUACUCCUACCUAACUACACCACCUUCAUUAAUGCAUCUCCUUUCUCUUUUUCCUUUCCCCUUCAUAGUUGAAGUUGUCUCUUCCCAAAUUAGCUAGGUAGGUAGAUGUAGCACUUAGUUAAGUGACUUAUUUGCCCCCUAACUAGAUCUAUCUUUGUCAAGAAGAGCUUUAUGCACUUUUGAUCUCUCACUACAACAUCAUCUCCAUCGUGUGCUCGAUCUCGAUCGAGAUAGAGGUGAUGAGAAUUUCAUGCUUUUGCAAAAUGAAAAUAUGUUUAUGUGUGUGUGAUAUGUUUGUGGAAAUUGUGUGUGUGGCACGCCAAAUUGUGCUUUUGAGUUGCCUAUGUUUUGCCGAAAUGUUGAUUUAUUUCCGUUUCGGCGAAUUCCGAGCAAACUCUAGAUCCAUAUAUGUCCUAUUUUUAGGGAAGCUCAUGCCAAAUUUUUUUAUGACUUUGAUGCAUGCAUGCAUUUUUAUAAUCAAUUUGUUUAUUAUUACCGUGCAGAGUUGACGAUGGUCAGUGGAACGAUGGUGGACAGGUGGUUGCGGUCGGCGGUGCAGGACAUGAAAGAAAAUAACCGGACAGAGGUUUUAUGUCCGUGUCGAAAAUGCAAAGGAAUAGUUUGGCUCGACCCCCAUGACGAUGGUCGUGUCGAAGCGCACCUGCUCAUGACUGGUUUCAUGGAUGGCUAUACGCGAUGGAUAAUUGAAGAUGAGGAUGACGAUGUUGAGGAUGCCGACGGGGUAGGCAAUGAUGACACGGGGCAAGACGAAGAGAUGAUCGAUAAUGGCGGCGGGGAAGAGGCCGGACAUGGCGGCGGAGAAGGGGCCGGACAUGGCGGAGGAGAAGGGGCCAAACUAUUCAUCGGAAGGAGCACACGGAAAAAACAAGCUGUCCGGUGUGCAAUGCUUCUCGAUACAAGAAGGCCAGGAAGAAAUGUCCCCAGAAAGUUGUAUGGUACUUACUGAUCACUCCCUGUCUGCAGAGGUAUUUUGUAGAUCCCAAGGAAGCAAAGCUAAUGCGCUGGCAUGCGGAGAGGAAGAAGCCCGACGAUGGAGAUGAUCCGAAGCUGAGACACAUGAAGGAUGGAAGCCAGUGGAGAGCGUUGAACAGUUUCUAUCGGUAUUUUGAAUGUGAUGCAAGGAACAUCGUGCUCGGCGCGUGUACCGAUGGCAUGAAUCUGUUUGGCAACCAGAACACCAACCAUAGCACAUGGCCCGUGUUUGUAUGGAUGUACAACCUCCCCCCUGGUUGUGCAUGAAAUCGAAGUACAUUCCCAUGAGCAUGCUUAUUCAAGGGCCGAAACAACCAGGAAAUAAUACUAAUUUGUAUCUGGGACUACUUCAAGAGGAGUUAGACACGUUAUGGAAAACACCGGCCAAGACAUGGGACGCCAGCAAAGGUGAGUAUUUCAACAUGAGAGCCGCGCUGAUCACGACAGUGCAGGACUCUCUCGGUUACGGAUAUAUGGCAGGCCAGGUGUGCCAUGGAUAUUGCGGAUGCACGCGGUGCAUGGAUGAUACGACGUCUCAGUAGCUAACGUCAAGGAAAGAUGGCGGGUCUGGGAAAAUCGUGUACAUGGGGCAUCGAAGAUGGCUUGAACAGGACGACCCGUGGAGAAACCGUGGAGAUCUAUUCAAUGGUCACGCUGAGCAUCGAGGACCUCCACGUAAGCGAAGCGGUGCCGAAAUCGAUGAGCUGUUGAAAAACUGGAAGGAGUGCCCCGCGCUGGGAAAGACGAUGAGAAAGGCGCCGGAGCCGCUGCUGAAGGUAUGGAAGACGAGGUCUGUGUUCUGGGACUUGGAGUACUGGCACAAACUCGAUACACCUCAUAUUUGUAAGAAUGUCCUUGAGAGCUUGCUUGCAACACUGAUGAACAUGCCGGAUAAGACCAAGGAUGGGCCGAAGGCAAGAAAAGACUUGCAAGAUUUGAAAAUUAGGGAAGAUCUGCACAUGCCGCCCCGUAAAAUGUCAGACGAGACAGAGACGGAGACAGAGGCACGGGAGAAGAAGGGCAAGAAAAUAAAGAAAGAGGAUUAUUGCCCCCCUUCUUGCUUCACCUUAAGUCAGGCUGAGAUCAAUGCCUUCUUUAAGUGCCUUACCGGAGUGAAAGUUAGUUCCGGUUACUGUGGCAAGAUAAGCAGAUAUCUAGACACUGACAAGAAAAGGUUCAGCGGGAUGAAGUCUCAUGACUGUCAUGUGAUGAUGACACAGAUACUACCUGUUGCCCUUAGAGGGAUAAUGUGUUGGGGAACGUAGCAGAAAUUCAAAAAAUUUCCUACGUAACACCAAGAUCUAUCUAUGGAUAGACCAGCAACGAGUAGAAAGAGAGGAGAGUUUGCAUCUACAUACCCUUGUAGAUCGCUAAGCGGAAGCGUUCAAGUGAACGGGGUUGAUGGAGUCGUACUCGUCGUGAUUCAGAUCACCGAUGAUCAAGUGCCGAACGGACGGCACCUCCGCGUUCAACACACGUACAGCCCGGUGACGUCUCCCACGCCUUGAUCCAGCAAGGAGAGAGGGAGAGGUUGAGGAAGACUCCAUCCAACAGCAGCACAACGGCGUGGUGGUGGUGGAGGAGCGUGGCAAUCCCGCAGGGCUUCGCCAAGCACCAUGGGAGAAGAGGAGAGUAACUUGGGAGAGAGGGAGGGGCUGCACCAAAGGCAUAAGGUGUGUUUGGGAGGCCCUCCUACCCCACUAUUUAUAGGGAUCCCAAGGGGGGGGUGCGCCAGCCCCUAGGAGAUCCAAUCUCCAAGGAGGCGGCGGCCAGGGGAGGAGUCCUCCCCCCCCAAGGCACCUAGGAGGUGCCUUCCCCUGCUGGGACUCUUCCUUUAGGGUUUCCCCAGGCGCAUGGGCCUCUUGGGGCUGGUGCCCUUGGCCCAUGUAGGCCAAGGCGCACCCCCUACAGCCCAUGUGGCCCCCCGGGGCAGGUGGCCCCACCCGGUGGGCCCCCGGGACCCUUCCGGUGGUCCCGGUACAAUACCGAUGACCCUGAAACUUGUCCCGAUGGCCGAAACAGGACUUCCUAUAUAUAAAUCUUUACCUCCGGACCAUUCCGGAACUCCUCGUGACGUCCGGGAUCUCAUCCGGGACUCCGAACAACAUUCGGUAACCACAUACAAGCUUCCUUUAUAACCCUAGCGUCAUCGAACCUUAAGUGUGUAGACCCUACGGGUUCGGGAGACAUGUAGACAUGACCGAGACGUUCUCCGGUCAAUAACCAACAGCGGGAUCUGGAUACCCAUGAUGGCUCCCACAUGUUCCACGAUGAUCUCAUCGGAUGAACCACGAUGUCAAGGACUUAAUCAAUCCCGUAUUCAAUUCCCUUUGUCUAUCGGUAUGUUACUUGCCCGAGAUUCGAUCGUCGGUAUCCAACACCUUGUUCAAUCUCGUUACCGGCAAGUCACUUUACUCGUUCCAUAACACAUCAUCCCGUGAUCAACUCCUUGGUCACAUUGCGCAUAUGAUGAUGUCCUACCGAGUGGGCCCGGAGAUACCUCUCCAUUUACACGGAGUGACAAAUCCCAGUCUCGAUCCGCAUAAAACAAUAGAUACUUUCGGAGAUACCUGUAGUGCACCUUUAUAGUCACCCAGUUACGUUGUGACGUUUGAUACACCCAAAGCACUCCUACGGUAUCCAGGAGUUACACGCUCUCAUGGUCGAAGGAAGAGAUACUUGACAUUGGCAAAGCUCUAGCAAAUGAACUGCACGAUCUUUUGUGCUAGUCUUAGGAUUGGGUCUUGUCCAUCACAUCAUUCUCCUAAUGAUGUGAUCCCGUUAUCAACGACAUCCAAUGUCCAUAGCCAGGAAACCAUGACUAUCUGUUGAUCACAACGAGCUAGUCAACUAGAGGCUCACUAGGGACAUAUUGUGGUCUAUGUAUUCACACGUGUAUUACGAUUUCCGGAUAAUACAGUUAUAGCAUGAAUAAGAGACAAUUAUCAUGAACAAGGAAAUAUAAUAAUAAUACUUUUAUUAUUGCCUCUAGGGCAUAUUUCCAACAGUCUCCCACUUGCACUAGAGUCAAUAAUCUAGUUCACAUCGCCAUGUGAUUAACACUCACAGGUCACAUCGCCAUGUGACUAAUACCCAAGAGUUUACUAGAGUCAGUAGUCUAGUUCACAUCACUAUGUGAUUAACACUCAAUGAGUUUUAUGUUUGAUCAUGUUGCUUGUGAGAGAGGUUUUAGUCAAUGGGUCUGAACCUUUCAGAUCCGUGUGUGCUUUACAAAUCUUUAUGUCAUCUCCUAGAUGCAGCUACCACGCUCUAUUUGGAGCUAUUCCAAAUAACUGUUCUACUUGCAACUAUUCUAAAUUGUUGCCCCAUUGUACGUAUCCGGUAUCUCUACUUAGAGCUAUCCGGAUAGGUGUUAAGCUUGCAUCGACGUAACCUUUACGACGAACUCUUUUACCACCUCCAUAAUCGAGAAAAUUCCUUAGUCCACUAGUUACUAAGGAUAACUUUGACCGCUGUCCUGUGAGCCAUUCUUGGAUCACUCUUGUACCCCUUGACUGACUCAUGGCAAGGCACACUUCAGGUGCGAUACACAGCAUAGCAUACUGAAGAGCCUACGUCUUAAGCAUAGGGGACGACCUUCGUCCUUUCUCUCUAUUCUGCCGUGGUCGAGCUUUAAGUCUUAACUUCGUACCUUACAACUCAGGCAAGAACUCCUUCUUUGACUGGUCCAUCUUGAACACCUUCAAGAUCAUGUCAAGGUAUGUUCUCAUUUGAAAGUAUUAUUAAGCAUUUUGAUCUAUCCUUAUAGAUCUUGAUGUUCAAUGUUCAAGUAGCUUAAUCCAGGUUUUCUAUUGAAAACACCUUUCAAAUAACCCUAUAUGCUUUCUAGAAAUUCUACAUCAUUUCUGAUCAACAAUAUGUCAAGAACAUAUACUCAUCAGAAAUUCUAUAGUGCUCCCACUCACUUCUUUGGAAAUACAAGUUUCUCAUAAACUUUGUACAAACCCAAAAUCUUUGAUCAUCAUCAAAGCAUACAUUCCAACUCCGAGAUGCUUACUCCAGUCCUUAGAAGGAUUGCUGGAGCUUUGCAUACUUAUUAGCAUCUUUUGGGAUUGACAAAACCUUCCGGUUGUAUCACAUACAACCUUUCCUCAAGUAUAACGUCGAGGAAACAAUGUUUUGACAUCCUAUCUGCAAGAUUUCAUCAAUCAUGCAGUAACUGCUAAUCCAAUUCCAACAGACUCUUAGCAUCGCUACGAGUGAGAAAACCUCACCGUAAUCAACUCCUUGAACUUGUCGGAAAAUAUCUUAGCGACAAGUCGAGCUUUCUUAAUGGUAAUUCUUACCAUCAUUGUCUGUCUUCCUUUUAAAAUCCAUCCGUACCCAAUGGCCUUACGACCAUCAAGUAUUUCUUCCAAAGUCUACACUUUGUUUUCAUACAUGGAUCCUCUCUCGGAUUUUAUGGCCUCGAGCCAUUUAUCGGAAUCCGGGCCCACCAUUGCUUCUCCAUAGCUCGUAGGUUCAUUGUUGUCUAGCAACAUGACCUUCAAGACAGGAUUACGUACCACUCUGAAGUAGUACGCAUCCUUGUCAUCCCACGAGGUUUGGUAGUGACUUGAUCCGAAGUUUCAUGAUCAAUAUCAUAAGCUUCCACUUCAAUUGGUGUAGGUGCCACAGGAACAACUUCCUGUGCCCUGCUACACACUUGUUGAAGAGACGGUUCAAUAACCUCAUCAAGUCUCCACCAUCCUCCCACUCAAUUCUUUCGAGAGAAACUUUUCCUCGAGAAAGGACCCGAUUCUAGAAACAAUCCAUAUUGCUUUCGGAUCUGAAUUAGGAGGUAUACCCAACUGUUUUGGGUUUCCUAUGAAGAUGCAUUUUAUCCGCUUUGGGUUCGAGCUUAUCAACCUGAAACUUUUUCAUAUAAGCGUCGCAGCCCCAAACUUUUAAGAAACGACAACUUAGGUUUCUCUAAACCAUAAUUCAUACGGUGUCAUCUCAACGGAAUUACGUGGUGCCCUAUUUAAAGUGAAUGUGGUUGUCUCUAAUGCCUAACCCAUGAACAAUAGUGGUAAUUCGAUAAGAGACAUCAUGGUACGCACCAUAUCCAAUAGGGUGCAACUAUGAUGUUCGGACACACCAUCACACUAUGGUGUUCCAGGCGGUAUUAAUUGUGAAACUAUUUCCACAAUGUCUUAAUUGUGUGCCAAAACUCGUAACUCAGAUAUUCAUCUCUAUGAUCAUAUCAUAGACAUUUUAUCCUCUUGUCACAAUGAUCUUCUACUUCACUCUGAAAUUACUUGAACCAUUCAAUGAUUCAGACUUGUGUUUCAUCAAGUAAAUAUUCUCAACAUCUACUCGAAUCAUCUGUGAAGUAAGAUCAUAACGAUAUUCACUGCAUGCCUCAGCACUCAUUGGACUACACACAUCAAAAUGUGUUACUUCCAACAAGUUGCUAUCUUGUUCCAUCUUACUGAAACCGAGGCUUUUCAGUCAUCUUGCCCAUGUGGUAUGAUUUGCAUAUCUCAAGUGAUUCAAAAUCAAGUGAGUUCAAACGGUCCAUUUGCAUGGAGUUUCUUCAUGCAUAUAUACCAAUAGACAUGGUUCGCAUGUCUCAAACUUUUCAAAAAUGAGUGAGUCCAAAGAUCCAUCAACAUGGAGCUUCUUCAUGCAUUUUAUACCAUUAUGACUUACAUGGCAGUGCCACAAGUAAGUGGUACUAUCAUUACUAUCUUAUAUCUUUUGGCAUGAAAAUGUGUAUCCCUACGAUCAAGAUUCAAUAAACCAUUCCUUUAGGUGCAAGAGCACUUAUUCAGGUUUAAUACUAAUCUUGAUGGUAGAGGGAGCGUGCGAUGUUUGAUUAUAUCAAACUUGGAAACACUUCCAACACAUAUCGUCAGCUCUCCUUUAGCUAGUCUCCGUUUAUUCCGUAGCCUUUUAUUUCGAGUUACUAACACUUAGCAACCGAACCGGUAUCUAAUACCCUGGUGCUACUAGGAGUACUAGUAAAGUACACAUUAACAUAAUGUAUAUCCAAUAUACUUCUAUCGACCUUGCCAGCCUUCUCGUCUACCAAGUAUCUAGGGUAAUGCUGCUCCAGUGGUUGUUCCCCUUAUUACAGAAGCACUUAGUCUCGGGUUUGGGUUCAACCUUGGGUUUCUUCACUUGAGCAGCAACUUGAAUUGCCGUUUCAUGAAGUAUACCUUUGUUCCCUUGCCCUUCUGGAAACUAGUGGUUUCACCAACCAUCAACAAUUGAUGCUCCUUCUUGAUUUCUACUUUCGCGGUGUCAAACAUCGUGAAUACCUCAAGGAUCAUCUUAUUUAUCCCUUAUAUGUUAUAGUUCAUCACGAAGCUCUAGCAGCUCGGUGGCAAUGACUUUGGGAAAACAUCACUAUCUCAUCUGGAAGAUCAACUCCCACUCGAUUCAAGUGAUUGUUGCACUCAGACAAUCUGAGCACAAGCUCAACGAUUGAGCUUUUCUCCCUUAGUUUGCAGGCUAAGAAAAUCGUCGGAGGUCUCAUACCUCUUGACGUGGGCACAAGCCUGAAAUCCCAAUUUCAGCCCUCGAAACAUCUCAUAUGUUCCGCGACGUUUCGAAAACGUCUUUGGUGCCUCUACUUAAACCAUUUAACUGAACUAUCACGUAGUUAUCAAAACGUGUAUGUCCGAUGUUCGCAACAUCCACAAACGACAUUUGGGGUUCAGCACACUAAGCGGUGCAUUAAGGACAUAAGCUAUCUACUGUCUGCAUAAUCGCUACUUUCAACUUUCAACUAUAUUUUCUCUAGGAACAUAUCUAAAAUAGUAGAACUAAAGCGCGAGCUACGACAUAAUUUGCAAAAUCCUUUUGACUAUGUUCAGGAUAAUUAAGUUCAUCUUAUGAACUCCCACUCAGAUAGACAUCCCUCUGGUCAUCUAAGUGAUCACAUGAUCCGAGUCAACUAGGCCGUGUCCGAUCAUCACGUGAGACGGACUAGUUAACGUCGGUGAACAUCUUCAUGUUGAUCGUAUCUGCUAUACGAUUCAUGCUCGACCUUUCGGUCUCCGUGUUCCGAGGCCAUGUCUGUACAUGCUAGGCUCGUCAAGUUAACCCUAAGUGUUUUCGCUGUGUAAAACUGUCUUACACCCGUUGUAUGUGAACGUAAGAAUCCAUCACACCCGAUCAUCACGUGGUGCUUAGAAGCGACGAACUGUAGCAACGGUGCACAGUUAGGGGAGAACACUUCUUGAAAUUGUUGUAAGGGAUCAUCUUAUUUACUACCGUCGUUCUAAGCAAACAAGAUGCAUAAACAUGAUAAACAUCACAUGCAAUCAAAUAGAGUAGUGACAUGAUAUGGCCAAUAUCAUUUUGCUCCUUUUGAUCUUCAUCUUCGGGGCUCCAUGAUCAUCUUGUCACCGGCAUGACACCAUGAUCUCCAUCAUCAUGAUCUCCAUCAUCGUGUCUUCAUGAAGUUGUCACGCCAACGACUACUUCUACUUCUAUGGCUAACGCGUUUAGCAAUAAAGUAAAGUAAGUUACAUGGCGUUCUUCAAUGACACGCAGGUCAUACAAAAAAAUAAAGACAACUCCUAUGGCUCCUGCCAGUUGUCAUACUCAUCGACAUGCAAGUCGUGAAUCCUAUUACAAGAACAUGAUCAAUCUCAUACAUCACAUAUAUCAUUCAUCACAUCCUUUGGCCAUAUCACAUCACAUAGCAUACCCUGCAAAAACAAGUUAGACGUCCUCUAAUUGUUGUUGCAUGUUUUACGUGGCUGCUAUGGGUUUCUAGCAAGAACGUUUCUUACCUACGCAAGACCACAACGUGAUAUGCCAAUUGCUAUUUACCCUUCAUAAGGACCCUUUUCAUCGAAUCCGUUCCGACUAAAGUGGGAGAGACUGGCACCCGCUAGCCACCUUAUGCACCAAGUGCAUGUCAAUCGGUGGAACCUGUCUCACGUAAGAGUACGUGUAAGGUCGGUCCGGGCCGCUUCAUCCCACAAUACCGUCGAAACAAGAUUGGACUAGUAACGGUAAGCAUAUUGAACAACAUCAACGCCCACAACUACUUUGUGUUCUACUCGUGCAAAGAAUCUACGCAAUAGACCUAGCUCAUGAUGCCACUGUUGGGGAACGUAGCAGAAAUUCAAAAAAUUUCCUACGUAACACCAAGAUCUAUCUAUGGAGAGACCAGCAACGAGUAGAAAGAGAGGAGAGUUUGCAUCUACAUACCCUUGUAGAUCGCUAAGCGGAAGCGUUCAAGUGAACGGGGUUGAUGGAGUCGUACUCGUCGUGAUUCAGAUCACCGAUGAUCAAGUGCCGAACGGACGGCACCUCCGCGUUCAACACACGUACAGCCCGGUGACGUCUCCCACGCCUUGAUCCAGCAAGGAGAGAGGGAGAGGUUGAGGAAGACUCCAUCCAACAGCAGCACAACGGCGUGGUGGUGGUGGAGGAGCGUGGCAAUCCCGCAGGGCUUCGCCAAGCACCAUGGGAGAAGAGGAGAGUAACUUGGGAGAGAGGGAGGGGCUGCACCAAAGGCAUAAGGUGUGUUUGGGAGGCCCUCCUACCCCACUAUUUAUAGGGAUCCCAAGGGGGGGGUGCGCCAGCCCCUAGGAGAUCCAAUCUCCAAGGAGGCGGCGGCCAGGGGAGGAGUCCUCCCCCCCCAAGGCACCUAGGAGGUGCCUUCCCCUGCUGGGACUCUUCCUUUAGGGUUUCCCCAGGCGCAUGGGCCUCUUGGGGCUGGUGCCCUUGGCCCAUGUAGGCCAAGGCGCACCCCCUACAGCCCAUGUGCCCCCCCGGGGCAGGUGGCCCCACCCGGUGGGCCCCCGGGACCCUUCCGGUGGUCCCGGUACAAUACCGAUGACCCCGAAACUUGUCCCGAUGGCCGAAACAGGACUUCCUAUAUAUAAAUCUUUACCUCCGGACCAUUCCGGAACUCCUCAUGACGUCCGGGAUCUCAUCCGGGACUCCGAACAACAUUCGGUAACCACAUACAAGCUUCCUUUAUAACCCUAGCGUCAUCGAACCUUAAGUGUGUAGACCCUACGGGUUCGGGAGACAUGCAGACAUGACCGAGACGUUCUCCGGUCAAUAACCAACAGCGGGAUCUGGAUACCCAUGAUGGCUCCCACAUGUUCCACGAUGAUCUCAUCGGAUGAACCACGAUGUCAAGGACUUAAUCAAUCCCGUAUUCAAUUCCCUUUGUCUAUCGGUAUGUUACUUGCCCGAGAUUCGAUCGUCGGUAUACCGAUACCUUGUUCAAUCUCGUUACCGGCAAGUCACUUUACUCGUUCCGUAACACAUCAUCCCGUGAUCAACUCCUUGGUCACAUUGCGCAUAUGAUGAUGUCCUACCGAGUGGGCCCAGAGAUACCUCUCCGUUUACACGGAGUGACAAAUCCCAGUCUCGAUUCGUGCCAACCCAACAGACACUUUCGGAGAUACCUGUAAUGCAUCUUUAUAGCCACCCAGUUACAUUGUGACGUUUGGUACACCCAAAGCAUUCCUACGGUAUCCGGGAGUUGCACAAUCUCAUGGUCUAAGGAAAAGAUACUUGACAUUGGCAAAGCUUUAGCAAAUGAACUACACGAUCUUUUGUGCUAGUCUUAGGAUUGGGUCUUGUCCAUCACAUCAUUCUCCUAAUGAUGUGAUCCCGUUAUCAACGACAUCCAAUGUCCAUAGCCAGGAAACCAUGACUAUCUGUUGAUCACAAUGAGCUAGUCAACUAGAGGCUCACUAGGGACAUAUUGUGGUCUAUGUAUUCACACGUGUAUUACGAUUUCCGGAUAAUACAGUUAUAGCAUGAAUAAGAGACAAUUAUCAUGAACAAGGAAAUAUAAUAAUAAUACUUUUAUUAUUGCCUCUAGGGCAUAUUUCCAACAUAAUGGACAAGCACGUCCGUGACACGCUUAUUGGUCUCUGCAACUUUUUCGACGUCAUCUCUCGAAAGUCGAUCAGUGUGAAGCAGCUCCAAAGGCUACAGGAAGAGAUUGUUGUGAUACUGAAUGAGCUUGAGAUGUACUUCCCGCCCGCGUUCUUUGACGUGAUGGUGCAUCUGUGUGUCCAUAUUGUGGAUGACAUGAUAGACCUGGGGGCCGUCAUUCCUGCACAACAUGAUGCCAUUUGAGAGGAUGAAUGGGGUCAUCAAAGGAUUCGUUCGUAACAUGUCCCGUCCGGAUGGAAGCAUCGUCCAGGGCUAUUUGGCACAAGAGUGCAUCUCUUUCUGUGAGAAUUUUCUAUAUGGCGCAGACCAGCCACCUGGUGUUAGUGUUGGUUUGCCCGUUAACAAGCACGAUGGGAGGCUUGAAGGAGAUGGUCACUGCAACGGUCGCAAGGAACUGCACAUGGCAUACUCAGAUUGAUGCAGCGACUUUGACAGAGCAAACUUGGUAGUGCUACAACACCUAGAUGAGGUAGAUCCUUUCGUGGCACUGCACAAAGAAAUUACCGCAAAGAAGUAUCGUGACCGGGGGGUAUGCAGGACGGACGCCGAAGUUACUAGAGAGCACAACUCCACUUUCCUGCAUUGGUUCAAGAACAUAUUAUUGCUAAUCCUCCGGAGGAGGGCUCUAAGGACGGAUUGCUCAUAUACUCCUUAGCACAUGGCCCCUCGCCCAACCUCGUAACCUAUCAGGCAUAUGAUAUCAACGGAUACACAUUCUACACGGAGGCCAAAGAUAUGGACAGUGAUGAUCAGAACUCAGGGGUGACGAUGGAAUGCAUGACCGGCAACGACAACGGCACAACUGAAAGAUUUUAUGGAAGGGUCGAGGAGAUCUGGGAGCUUGACUACUCUGGACUGCACAACACGACGAUGUUCCGUGUCAGAUGGGCUAAGAAUGUCGAAAGAGAAAGCCGGAUUUUCACUACCAUGACUAUACCCUACGCCAAGAGCGCUACCGUGAACGCUAUCACAAAAAAUGAGCCAUGGGUACACGCUAAGCACGUGACACAAUGCUUCUUCAUAACUGACCCGCGCAAUCCCAACCGCGUUGUCCUGAGGAGAGGCAAAAGGAACGUCAUUGGAAUGGAUGGAGUCGCCAACGAGGAAGACUAUGAUCAGUACGACAACCCAAUGAGGGAAGAUGACGAUGAUGAUGAAGUAUACGUCAAAAGAAGAAUCAAUACUACAUUACCUAAGAAAAAUCGUACUCCAUGGAAAAGGCAAAGUCACAAUGAGGAGCUCAAUUAUUCUUCGACGAACAAGAAGGGAAAGAAGUUGACUCAAAAAUGAAAACAUCAGCACUGAGGAAACUUAUGUUAUCGGUCAAAUGAUGUAAUAUAUAUAUAUAUAUAUGUUCCUAUUUUGUAUACACACUUAGCCAUUAUUAUGCAUGGGUCCAAUGAUGUGUAAUAUAUAUGUUCCUAUUUUUGCAUACAUAUUUAACCGUCAAAUGAUGCAAUAUAUAUCGCCCUCCCUUCAUUCACUGCCCUCGGGAAAUAAAAGUGGGAUAAAAUAAAGGAAAAGAAAAAGGAAAACUGGCAGUAGCGAAGGUAGUAGCAGCGCGUUUUGCCUAAACUGCUACAGAUACUAAAGUUAGUAGAAGCAAAUUUCGUAUAAAGCGCUACAGCUACUGAAGGUAGUAGCAGCGCGUUUUGUGCAAAUGCGCUACUGCUAUGUCCACUUAACCCAAAAUUCUCACCCGCCCCGCUUCAUCCCGCCUUCCCCCCCCCCCAAAAUCCCCACUCUCCCCCGUCGCACCGCCGCGCCCGACCCGGCCCCGGCGCUCGCCCCCGACUCCGGCGCCGGCGCUAGCUCCCAACCCCGNNNNNNNNNNNNNNNNNNNNNNNNNNNNNNNNNNNNNNNNNNNNNNNNNNNNNNNNNNNNNNNNNNNNNNNNNNNNNNNNNNNNNNNNNNNNNNNNNNNNNNNNNNNNNNNNNNNNNNNNNNNNNNNNNNNNNNNNNNNNNNNNNNNNNNNNNNNNNNNNNNNNNNNNNNNNNNNNNNNNNNNNNNNNNNNNNNNNNNNNNNNNNNNNNNNNNNNNNNNNNNNNNNNNNNNNNNNNNNNNNNNNNNNNNNNNNNNNNNNNNNNNNNNNNNNNNNNNNNNNNNNNNNNNNNNNNNNNNNNNNNNNNNNNNNNNNNNNNNNNNNNNNNNNNNNNNNNNNNNNNNNNNNNNNNNNNNNNNNNNNNNNNNNNNNNNNNNNNNNNNNNNNNNNNNNNNNNNNNNNNNNNNNNNNNNNNNNNNNNNNNNNNNNNNNNNNNNNNNNNNNNNNNNNNNNNNNNNNNNNNNNNNNNNCUCUCUCUGCUAGGGUUCUUCGGUUAAUUUAAUUAGGUUUUAGUUAGGGCAGUAUGUUAAUUAGGUUAUCUAUUUAGUUAUGAAUUUAGCUAGGUUUCAAAAUUUGAACUGGACAUGUGAUAUGUGCAAAUUUGAACUGGACAUGUGAUAUGUGCAUAUGUCAUGUUUUGGACAUGUCAUGUUUGGAAAAUGAUCCGAGUGGCCUAUGUUACGCUGGAAUGUUGAUUCAUUUCCGUUCCGGUGAAUUUCAGGCGCUCGAUAUGUCCAUUUUUUAGCAAAGGUCAUGCCGAAAUUUCCCGUGAAUAAAGGCAUGAUUUUGUGCUACAUAGUUGGCAUAUCGAGUGCUGGCACGUAGAUUUCUUUUUAUGUCAUUUCUCAUUUAUUCAUACUUUUAGAAAUAAAUGAGGACACUUAAUCAUAGGAAACAUGUCGAACAACGAAGAAACUGGGCCUUCUGACCAAGAUGCAGACGAGAUGGAUUAUGAGGGUGAACAAGAGUACCUCGACUAUUUGACUGCUAAGCAAGGUUUGCAGGUCGGCCUCGAUGAUGGUACUGACGCCGACAUCGACACCGACAGCGCCGGCACCGAUGGCGGCACCGAGACCGGUGGGGAAGGUACCGGCGGGGAAGGUACCGGCCCCGAUGCCGCUACCGCAAAGAGGAAGCAUAAGAAGCAGAGGAUAUGAAAACCUAACAAACUUGGGAUUGGACGACUUGUGAUCACAAAGAUGGCACUUGGCAAGUUUGAGCCGUUAGAGCCGGAAGAACCUCGCAAGUGCUAUGGGAACCAAGUAGGAUGCAUCCUACGGGAAUGCGCGAGCAUCAACGACGAUGACUUAAGGAGUAAAGAACAUUUGACGCAGUUGCUCCUAACAAAGUUGCACAAGAGAUUCAAGUUCCCCGACCGGGAUGAUAACAUAGAACAACCGUGGGAUGAUCCGAAGAUGAAAAAGAUUAACAAUCACGCCAUGGGCAUGUUCAGCAAUGAUUUGGCCUCCUGGAAAAUGAGGGUGAAACGAGCUAUUGAGACUGAUGAACCCCUGUCCAAGAUUCUGGAGGAAAAUCCGACACUUAUGGAAGAGGAGUUCGAAAAGUUCAAGGACACUUGUGCUAGCGAGGCAGCCAAGGCUAAGGCUGCGAAGUUCAAGAGCCUUCAGCAAAGGAACACGGGGAAGCAUCGCCUCGGAAGCCGUGGCUACCUCGGUAAAAGGCCCAUAUGGGAUAAGGAGGACGCGGAACAUGAAGCCGCGGGUCUCCCAGACCCCUUCGCGAAGUUCACCAACCCCUUGGAGCAUGACUUCAUCAGGGCCCGCUACAAGUGGGACAAGGAGAAAAAGGUUUUUUACACGAACAAGAUCACGAGGAAAUUGAUUAGACUACUGGAGAAGCAACACCAGCUUGCAGCCAAAAGCCCUACUUCUCCGAUGAGGCCCAAGUGGGACACCCCUCUCAACCGGGCCUUGAACUAACUUAAGGGACUCCCUUUGGAUCAGCGGCCGCAAUAUGGUCGUGUGCACGGCGCUGGAGACGGCGCCACGUGGAAGGUGUUUUACAACGAGGGCCUGGAGGCCAAGAAGCUGAAAACAAAGUUUAGUCAGGCGGACAUUGACGCGAAGGUGAAGCUUGCGGUCGAGAAAAAAGCAGCUGAGGACGCGAAAAAAGCAGCCGAGGACAAAUAUGAGUUGCUACAGCAGGCAGUCAAUGCAGCUGUAACUGCCUGCAGAAAUAAUUUUGCUACUAACUUGGUUCCAGUUAUCAUCAACUGGGCGAAGGAAAAUCCAGACAAGACGGUACAUGAUUUCCCGAUGCCCAGUUUCGUCGGGAGCAACUCCAUGAACAACAACACCAUCGCACCAUCACUUGCUCACGCAACUGGGCCUCCUCUCGCAGCCGCUCCCACUCAUAGCAGCCCGUCCUUAGUCUCAGGCGCGCUAGGUGGGCCUUCGUCUUUGGCUGAGCUCGACGCCGUCACGAUAAUUACAUGUCGCACGAACAUAUAUAUAUAUAUAUAAUAUUCCAUUUUUGUUGCCUUUCGGUUGUUUUACGCCACAGACAUAUGUGUUUGCAGGCGAAAGAAACCCCGUGCACCAUACUCUACUUGAUCAAAGGCCAGAAGGUGGACGUGGGACAGGGGAUGAUAAUGGACCCCUCUCAACGCAUGUUCCACAACCAGCCGAUCCCCGCUAGGCACUUCAGGGUUAGCUUGACCAGUGUGAAAUCGGGGCACGAGGAUUUGCCUCCUCCAGUACAGCAUGUGGAAGCGGACGACGAGACCCCGCCACGGAUUGGAAGCUGCAAGAAUUGGGUGCUGCUAUGGCCGAAGAAUCUUAUUCAUCUGGAGCCGGCCGAGAGCACACCAAUAACUACCACACAUCAACAAGCAUGUGCGAAGACCACCACCCCGCCUAUGCAAUUACCAGCUCCUGUAGUGCCGGGUGAGAGCAGCGGACGACAUGAUGAAGGGGGUGCAAUAGUACUGGCUGAUGUAAUUUCUCCUGUAGAACAGAGAAUGGAUGAUGAGACGGAGGUCGACCCUAUGGAUUACCUCAAUAAAACGCGUAUGACUGUGACAUAGAUAUGAUGAGUCAACCAUAUGAUGAAUCAGGCUAUCAGCUUGCUAAUGAGGAUAUGGAUGAUAUGCCCGGGCAGGGUCGUACCAUGGAUUGCAAAAAGUCUCUCUUCAUGAAAUCCUCACAGGACACGCCUGAAGAUGCCGCCUCAACAUAGGCUCAACUAGCCAGGCACGAGGGUCGUACAGUACUUAGCCUGGGAACACUGGGGCAGGGGUUAAGGAAGGGUUUGGAAGGUGUGCCCAAGAAAAAGGAGAGGAAGAGAUCGGGGAAGGUAACUGUCUCCAAACAAGCAAGAGCACAUAGCAGCCAGACGAUGCAUUCUCAAGAGUGUGUACCCAUGAAAAGUGCGGUCAUGUUCCAUCUCACGGGCGAGCCGAUGCUACCGCCAAAACCGCUGGAGGCACUAUCAGGGGAUCUCAGGAGACUGCACGACCAUGUGCUGUCGACUGAGAAAAGCCUACUAGCCUCAAAGGAUCCAGGAUAUCUGACAUACGCAGCUCGUGUGCCUGAAGGGAAGUGCUACGUCGACACACGGCCCACGGAGGUGUUCUUCCUGCGGUUUGACCAUAUCUUUGAGAUGUUUCUAACAAGGUGGCUUGAUUUUACUAUCGUCCGCCUUUUUGCGCUACAUAUGAGCUCUGUCAUGAAGAGUGAAGAAGUCUCGCAAAUCUGUGUGGCGGAUCCGUACUACAUGCAUGAGUCUUUCUUGAGUCUCGACGACUUUGAGCGUGAAACUGCUAGGGAGUACCUCCAAAACUUCAUGGUACAGAAUAAGGACCGGGAAAUUGUCCUCGUGCCUUAUCAUCCAAAGUAAGUCAGUUCCGGACAACCUUCGUACAUUUCAAUCAUUCCUUCUCUCUCAUAUGGGGAAUAAUUUGAGGUGCCUUUUCCCCGCAGCAACGGGCGCGCUGUCCUUAUCGUUCUUUACCCGCAGGUCUCCCACGCCGUGUAUUUUGACCCUUCCAGAGACUACGAGAAAAAAGACUACACCCACAUAAUGAAUAUUCUAGAUGAUGCUCUCCAAGGCUUCAGCUUUAGAGGUGGCCACGUGCAGAUCAAGAAACAAAGGAACAAGAAGAUGGGCUUCGCGCAUAAAACUAACUUCUCCUGCAUCCAUGUCCCAAAACCAAGCAAGAAGGAUGGAUUCUACAUCGUCCAUCUCAUGAUUCAGUUCAACACGGAUCACCAAAAGCUUUGCACUAACAGCAGAAAUGAUGAUCGUAUCCACAAGUGGCUAGAAUCUCAUGGAGAAGCGGAUUAUAAACUUAGAGAUGACUUCUUUCGCAUCCAAAGCGACAUUGCAACGAUCAUCAUGAAAGAAGUCUUCGAUGAGAAGGGGAUGUUCCACCACGGCCCUAUAUCGCGAGCUGACGUCCGAACUCGCAUAGGAAUGCAAGCUAGGGUUUGUCCUCGAUGAUAUGGAAGGAUGGAACUUCUAGUGAUUUAUGAUGCCGAUGAUGAUGAUAUGUGUCGGUUGAACUUGUAUACUUCUUGUAGCGAUGAAACUUUGUGAUGUCCACGGUCCAUGCCGAACAUGCGUAACGCUACUUUGUUAGUUUGCGUACGAUGACCUGCGUACCUCUAGUUAAUUAAUUUGCGUACUGUAUGUUGCAUCUAGUUGUUAAUCCUUUCUUUUUCGGUGUUGCUCUAGUAUAUUUUGUUGCAUAUAUAUGAUUGUACAUCCUCUUCAUGAACAUGCAUCUCUAACAGGUACCUAGUUUCUUGAUGGCGAGAUGGAAUUGCUAUGUCGUGUACAAAGGGAAGGUUCCGGGGGUGUACAACGAGUGGCAUGAGUGUCAGGCGCAAGUGAAUGGGUUCAUGGGCGCCAGCCAUAAAGGCUUCAAAAGCAGACAAGAAGGAGAAGCUAGUUACUUGAGGUUCACGCUAGCGCGAGAGAGGACUCGUAACCGCCACCUCAUGUACUGCAUAGUUCUGCUCUCACUCAUAGUGAUAGCACUUCUUGCGUAUACCUUUGUUUAGAUGGAUGACGUUGUUGUAGUUGCAAGUAUUCGAGACUUGCAUGUAUCACUAUUUUCGAGAUGAUGACAAGAUAUCACUUUGUGUUGGAUGAUGAUUAUGAUGAGACUAUUUGUAUGUACAUGCUAUGAUUACAUUUGUGGUCUCGCAGACAUUUGUAUGUGUAUCAUGAUGACAUUUCUAUGUGCUAAAGAUUCUUCUAUAAAGCCUGUUCAAAUACAAAACAAAUAUGCCAAAAAAAUAACAAAAAAACCUACUUAAAUUAGCAGUAGCGAGUGUACAAAAAUUAGCAGCAGCGCCGCGGUAGCAGUAGCGCGUCAAGGUAAAACGCGCUAGAGCUACUAGCAGUAGCGAGCUUCCGCAAACAGCGCUGCUGCUACACUUGUGUAGCAGUAGCGCCGGUGAGCACGCGCUACUGCUAUAUGUUAGCUGUAGCGCCUUAUUAGUAGCGCCUCUCCCUGCACUACUGAUACAUCUAAAACCCGCGCUGCUGCUAGCCUUUUCCCUAGUAGUUGAGCCUGACGCACAUCAGAGUUGACAUUUCUGACCUCCAUUUUGCUGCUCCGGGAGAAGACUAUGCUAAUAUAAUUGAAUCUCAAAAGUGAACCAAUUAUAGCAUACUGAAAAAACCAUCAAAAGUGACCAAACUCGAGCAUAUGCACUUUAACACAGUAGCCAAGCAACUAAAAAACAGAAAUUCUUGAGAAUUGCCAUGGAGUCUUAAACAAACAUGAUCUCUGAAAAUAAUACACUGGAAUAAAUUAACCAUUCUAACAAUGUCCAUGGACCUGCAGGCACAACCAAAUCGAAAGAAAGCUGAGGAUCACGGAAGGGAGAGUGAGUAGGAGGAGAGGCAAAGCAAGGGAAUGGAAGAAAAGCUCACAAGGAAGGUGCAGCCAGAAGGGAAGAGGGAGUUCGACGGCAUUGCUACUCCUUAAUGGUGCGCCUCCGCCAUGACGGUGCAACCAGGGCCCUUGCUCGACGACGCGGGACCGGCC